This is a long non-coding RNA of Limulus polyphemus (Atlantic horseshoe crab), 708 nucleotides long. RefSeq lists it as uncharacterized. The transcript is spliced from 4 exons. NCBI's taxonomy places the organism in Eukaryota, Metazoa, Arthropoda, Merostomata, Xiphosura, Limulidae. The record is from RefSeq and is a predicted model, not a curated record.
CGAGUGCCACGUGGACCAAAGGUCAACCCACUGAAAGCUGAUUGGCAUAUCCGCGCGCUGGCUAGGAACUAGAGUGUAGCAAUGUAGAUAGAUAGAAAAUCACAGACCAGAGAUGAUGUACAAAGGUUAUAGACUAUGACGUAUAUCAUCACUCAACAUCUUUAUUAACCAAUGAGGUGUAUGUGUGUGAGAGAUGUGACGUAAAACAAGGACAAAUGAAGUACAGGCGAAAUCGUGAUUUCAGUUCAAUAAUUGGUGGAACUGUAGAACAAGUUCCUUCCGCUCUUACUGUCCUUGUAGAGCUGCUUGAUAUGUCAUCCUUCGUUUCUAAACUAAGAGGAUGAAAGGAAAACACCAAAGACAGUACACCGUGAGGAGUGUUUAAGUAUUUACUAACGUAACAAAUGACAAAUGAAGAGAGAUGUUAACAUUCGAGUGAAAGUCGUGACGCAUGAGUCAGGAUUUACUAUUAUUUCAUCCAACAUCUGGACCCAAGGAUUACACAAAUGGAAUAACGCAAAAUUCUGGUAACUUCUCGAGGAUGAGGGCUUGUACCAAAGAACCCAAAAUUAAAGUUAAACUGUAUAAUCUAAACAAAGAUUUAUUACCGAACAUUCUUCAAAUUUCUCGAAGUGUGUAGGCACUAUUAGAUGUGUAAACGUUUCUAGAAAAAUGGUUCGUGCUAAUAAAGCACGGAUUUUUAUAUUA